AAGUCGUAACAAGGUUUCCGUAGGUGAACCUGCGGAAGGAUCAUUAAAGAUUUUGUUUUUUGGGGUUUUCCCUGAAAAAUAAUUCACCUUUUGUGCAUUGUUAUUAGAUAUACUUUGGUUAGAGCUUUGAUUUCAUUCAUUGGAAUCAACUUCUUGCCGACUCUAUCCUUUCUGAGGACAGUUGGCUAUGAAGCGGCCUACCAAGGUUUUUUAUCAAACACAUUUAAUUUAUCUGACCUAAAAACAAAUAAUUAAAUCAUAACUUUCAACAACGGAUCUCUUGGCUCUC
RNAcentral lists this unclassified non-coding RNA (289 nucleotides) under fungal sp. RNAcentral's name for it is "partial internal transcribed spacer region". The stretch from base 1 to 46 matches the Rfam family "Eukaryotic small subunit ribosomal RNA", at positions 1786 to 1831 of the family's 1831-position model. Lineage: Eukaryota; Fungi. The record is from RNAcentral.